UACGGAGGGAGCGAGCGUUGUCCGAAGUUACUGGGCGUAAAGCGCGCGUAGGCGGGGGAUUAAGUGAGAAGUGAAAGGCUGAGGCUCAACCUCAUGCAGUGCUUCUCAUACUGGUCCUCUUGAGGGUGGUAGAGAGAAGUGGAAUGGCUGGUGUAGCGGUGAAAUGCGUAGAUAUCUGGAGGAACACCGGUGGCGAAGGCGGCAUCCUGGACCGACACUGACGCUGAGGAGCGAAAGCCAGGGGAGCAAACGGG
RNAcentral lists this ribosomal RNA (254 nucleotides) under uncultured bacterium. Its description in RNAcentral is "partial 16S ribosomal RNA". It matches the Rfam family "Bacterial small subunit ribosomal RNA", at positions 524 to 776 of the family's 1533-position model. The record is from RNAcentral.